Long non-coding RNA from Corapipo altera (White-ruffed manakin), 753 nucleotides. RefSeq lists it as uncharacterized. The record is from RefSeq and is a predicted model, not a curated record. NCBI's taxonomy places the organism in Eukaryota, Metazoa, Chordata, Aves, Passeriformes, Pipridae. The transcript is spliced from 3 exons.
GCCGGCCGGCCUCCAUGCGCCGCUGCAGGAUGAGGUCCCGCUCAGUGCCGCUGAGGCGGCCAUACACGCUGGGCUCCCGCAGCACCUCCAGGCCUUCAGAGCCCUGAUAAUCAGCUUUCUUCAAGAACUGACACUGGUGAAAUGACAAAGGUCCAGUGGAGGUGGCUAGGAAAACACCAGGAAUGCCAAGCUCAGAUGUACAGUUAUAUUAAGAAAAUUGCUACAAUGUGACACAAUGAUCAAAGAGUUGUACUGCUGUUCUAACAACACAGAACAUUCAAAAGUUACAGAAUUGCAGAAGAUACUUGAUAGCUGUGCUGAUUCAGAAGAAUCUGACCCCCUAACGAACUCAUUCAGCUUAAAACAAACUUAGUUUUAGCACUUUUUUCAAAACUCAGAAACAGGAUAGGUAGUGGAAAAGGAAGCAAGCUGUUUACAGGACACGGUAUCUAUGGACUAAUGUCACUUUUUAUACUGGGGACUUUUAAGUUAGAAGCUGAAUUACUGUUUUCAUUAUCAUGGGCUCGGUCUAGGGAUGAUGUAAUGUUAAUGGACACAGGAGCUGCCAACAAACAUGAACUGUAUUUACAGACUUGGCAAUGACACAAUUACAAUAUCCUGGAUGUGUGGCCCCAACCUCAGAUGCUGUGAGACAUUGCUCAAGUAACAGCAUAGAUAAGAAGGCGUAGUUUUUCUGACAGAGAAACUGUAAUGAAGAGCUGCAGGUAAAGUUUCCUGCAUUCAUUUGGCAGU